CUGAUGGCGAGUGGCGAACGGGUGAGUAAUGCAUCGGAACGUGCCUAAUCGUGGGGGAUAACGCAGCGAAAGCUGUGCUAAUACCGCAUACGAUCUAAGGAUGAAAGCGGGGGACUUUUAAGCCUCGCGCGAUUGGAGCGGCCGAUGUUAGAUUAGGUAGUUGGUGAGGUAAAAGCUCACCAAGCCGACGAUCUAUAGCUGGUCUGAGAGGACGACCAGCCACACUGGAACUGAGACACGGUCCAGACUCC
This 251-nucleotide ribosomal RNA is filed under the name uncultured bacterium. RNAcentral describes it as "partial 16S ribosomal RNA". It matches the Rfam family "Bacterial small subunit ribosomal RNA", at positions 85 to 339 of the family's 1533-position model. The record is from RNAcentral.